Molecule: long non-coding RNA, 6761 nt
Filed under: Setaria viridis
Lineage: Eukaryota; Viridiplantae; Streptophyta; Magnoliopsida; Poales; Poaceae
Description: long non-coding RNA (SVIR_LNC005616)
Source: RNAcentral
GACACUAAUCCAGCAAGUCAAAAGUCAAAUUUGCCCUUAAAAGCUCAAUUUUAGGUUAAAUUCAAAACAUGAAAUUUUGUAUAGAAACCUAAGUUUUUGUCAAACUAAAAGUUGUAGAGUUUUACAUUUCUAGCAACUUUUCUUAUUAGCACUUUGAAUGGUUUGGAGGGGAAGAGGUUCACAAGCUAGAAUCAAAAUCAGUAGCAAUUCAAAAUAACUUCAAAAACUCUAAGUGCUGUAGCAAAUUAUACUUGGUUACGCUUUAUUAGGAGGCUUAGACACUAAUCCAGCAAGUGAAAAAUCAAAUUUGUCCUUGAAAGCUCAAUUUUGGGUUAAAUUCAAAACUUGAAACCUUGUAUAAAAACCUAAAUUUUUGUCAAACUAAAAGUGGUAGAGUUUUACAUUUCUAGCAACUUUUCUAAUGAGCACUUUGGAUGGUUUGGAGGGGAAGAGGUUCAAAAGCUAGAAUCAAAAUCAGUAGCAAUUCAAAAUCACUUCAAAAACUCUAAGUGCUCUAGCAAAUUAUACUUGGUUACGCUUGAUUAGGAGGCUUAAACACUAAUCCAGCAAGUGAAAAGUCAAAUUUGCCCUUGAAAGCUCAAUUUUUGAAUUAAAAAUCAAUUCAAAAACUCUAAGUUCUCUAGCAAAUUAUACUUGGUUAGUCUUGAUUAGGAGGCUUAGACACUAAUCCAGCAAGUCAAAAGUCAAAUUUGCCCUUAAAAGCUCAAUUUUAGGUUAAAUUCAAAACUUGAAAUUUUGUAUAGAAACCUAAGUUUUUGUCAAACUAAAAGUUGUAGAGUUUACAUUUUUAGCAACUUUUUUUAUUAGCACUUUGAAUGGUUUGGAGGGGAAGAGGUUCACAAGCUAGAAUCAAAAUCAGUAGCAAUUCAAAAUCACUUAAAAAACUCUAAGUGCUCUAGCAAAUUAUACUUGGUUACGCUUGAUUAGGAGGCUUAGACACUAAUCCUACAAGUGAAAAGUCAAAUGUGCCCUUGAAAGCUCAAUUUUGGGUUAAAUUCGAAACUUGGAAUUUUGUAUAGAAACAUAAGUUUUUGUCAAACGAAAAGUUGUAAAGUUUUACAUUUCUAGCAACUUUUCUUAUUAGCACUUUGAAUGGUUUGGAGAGGAAUAGGUCCAAAAGCUAGAAUCAAAAUCAGUAGCAAUUCAAAAUCACAUCAAAAAACUCUAAGUGCUCUAGCAAAUUAUACUUGGUUACGCUUGAUUAGGAGGUUUAAACACUAAUCCAGCAAGUGAAAAGUCAAAUUUGCCCUUGAAAGCUCAAUUUUUGAAUUAAAAAUCAAUUCAAAAACUCUAAGUUCUCUAGCAAAUUAUACUUGGUUAGUCUUGAUUAGGAGGCUUAGACACUAAUCCAGCAAGUCAAAAGUCAAAUUUGCCCUUAAAAGCUCAAUUUUAGGUUAAAUUCAAAACAUGAAAUUUUGUAUAGAAACCUAAGUUUUUGUCAAACUAAAAGUUGUAGAGUUUUACAUUUCUAGCAACUUUUCUUAUUAGCACUUUGAAUGGUUUGGAGGGGAAGAGGUUCACAAGCUAGAAUCAAAAUAAGUAGCAAUUCAAAAUCACUUCAAAAACUCUAAGUGCUCUAGCAAAUUAUACUUGGUUACGCUUGAUUAGGAGGCUUAGACACUAAUCCAACAACUGAAAAGUCAAAUUUGCCCUUGAAAGCUCAAUUUUGGGUUAAAUUCGAAACUUGGAAUUUUGUAUAGAAACAUAAGUUUUUGUCAAACGAAAAGUUGUAGAGUUUUACAUUUCUAGCAAGUUUUCUUAUUAGCACUUUGAAUGGUUUGGAGAGGAAUAGGUCCAAAGGCUAGAAUCAAAAUUAGUAGCAAUUCAAAAUCACUUCAAAAACUCUAAGUGCUGUAGCAAAUUAUACUUGGUUACGCUUGAUUAGGAGGCUUAGACACUAAUCCAGCAAGUGAAAAGUCAAAUUUGUCCUUGAAAGCUCAAUUUUGGGUUAAAUUCAAAACUUGAAACCUUGUAUAAAAACCUAAAUUUUUGUCAAACUAAAAGUGGUAGAGUUUUACAUUUCUAGCAACUUUUCUAAUGAGCACUUUGGAUGGUUUGGAGGGGAAGAGGUUCAAAAGCUAGAAUCAAAAUCAGUAGCAAUUCAAAAUCACUUCAAAAACUCUAAGUGCUCUAGCAAAUUAUACUUGGUUACGCUUGAUUAGGAGGCUUAAACACUAAUCCAGCAAGUGAAAAGUCAAAUUUGCCCUUGAAAGAUCAAUUUUUGAAUUAAAAAUCAAUUCAAAAACUCUAAGUUCUCUAGCAAAUUAUACUUGGUUAGUCUUGAUUAGGAGGCUUAGACACUAAUCCAGCAAGUCAAAAGUCAAAUUUGCCCUUAAAAGCUCAAUUUUAGGUUAAAUUCAAAACUUGAAAUUUUGUAUAGAAACCUAAGUUUUUGUCAAACUAAAAGUUGUAGAGUUUACAUUUGUAGCAACUUUUCUUAUUAGCACUUUGAAUGGUUUGGAGGGGAAGAGGUUCACAAGCUAGAAUCAAAAUCAGUAGCAAUUCAAAAUCACUUAAAAAACUCUAAGUGCUCUAGCAAAUUAUACUUGGUUACGCUUGAUUAGGAGGCUUAGACACUAAUCCAACAAGUGAAAAGUCAAAUGUGCCCUUGAAAGCUCAAUUUUGGGUUAAAUUCGAAACUUGGAAUUUUGUAUAGAAACAUAAGUUUUUGUCAAACGAAAAGUUGUAGAGUUUUACAUUUCUAGCAACUUUUCUUAUUAGCACUUUGAAUGGUUUGGAGAGGAAGAGGUCCAAAAGCUAGAAUCAAAAUCAGUAGCAAUUCAAAAUCACUUCAAAAACUCUAAGUGCUCUAGCAAAUUAUACUUGGUUACGCUUGAUUAGGAGUCUUAGACACUAAUCCAGCAAGUGAAAAGUCAAAUUAUUCCUCGAAAGCUCAAUUGUGGGUUAAAUUCAAAACUUGAAACCUUGUAUAAAAACCUAAAUUUUUGUCAAACUAAAAGUUGUAGAGUUUUACAUUUCUAGCAACUUUUCUAAUGAGCACUUUGGAUGGUUUCGAGAGGAAGAGGUUCAAAAGCUAGAAUGAAAAUAAGUAGCAAUUCAAAAUCAAUUCAAAAACUCUAUGUUCUCUAGCAAAUUAUACUUGGUUAGGCUUGAUUAGGAGGCUUAGACACUAAUCCAGCAAGUCAAAAGUCAAAUUUGCCCUUAAAAGCUCAAUUUUAGGUUAAAUUCAAAACAUGAAAUUUUGUAUAGAAACCUAAGUUUUUGUCAAACGAAAAGUUGUAGAGUUUUACAUUUCUAGCAACUUUUCUUAUUAGCACUUUGAAUGGUUUGGAGGGAAGAGGUUCACAAGCUAGAAUCAAAAUCAGUAGCAAUUCAAAAUCACUUCAAAAACUCUAAGUGCUCUAGCAAAGUAUACUUGGUUACGCUUGAUUAGGAGGCUUAGACACUAAUCCAACAAAUGAAAAGUCAAAUUUGCCCUUGAAAGCUCAAUUUUGGGUUAAAUUCGAAACUUGGAAUUUUUUAUAGAAACAUAAGUUUUUGUCAAACGAAAAGUUGUAGAGUUUUACAUUUCUAGCAACUUUUCUUAUUAGCACUUUGAAUGGUUUGGAGAGGAAUAGGUCCAAAAGCUAGAAUCAAAAUCAGUAGCAAUUCAAAAUCACUUCAAAACUAAGUGCUCUAGCAAAUUAUACUUGGUUACGCUUGAUUAGGAGGCUUAGACACUAAUCCAGCAAGUGAAAAGUCAAAUUUGUCCUUGAAAGCUCAAUUUUGGGUUAAAUUCAAAACUUGAAACCUUGUAUAAAAACCUAAAUUUUUGUCAAACUAAAAGUUGUAGAGUUUUACAUUUCUAGCAACUUUUCUAAUGAGCACUUUGGAUGGUUUGGAGGGGAAGAGGUUCAAAAGCUAGAAUCAAAAUCAGUAGCAAUUCAAAAUCACUUCAAAAACUCUAAGUGCUCUAGCAAAUUAUACUUGGUUACGCUUGAUUAGGAGGCUUAGACACUAAUCCAGCAAGUGAAAAGUCAAAUUUGCCCUUGAAAGCUCAAUUUUUGAAUUAAAAAUCAAUUCAAAAACUCUAAGUUCUCUAGCAAAUUAUACUUGGUUAGUCUUGAUUAGGAGGCUUAGACACUAAUCCAGCAAGUCAAAAGUCAAAUUUGCCCUUAAAAGCUCAAUUUUAGGUUAAAUUCAAAACUUGAAAUUUUGUAUAGAAACCUAAGUUUUUGUCAAACUAAAAGUUGUAGAGUUUACAUUUCUAGCAACUUUUCUAUUUAGCACUUUGAAUGGUUUGGAGGGGAAGAGGUUCACAAGCAAGAAUCAAAAUCAGUAGCAAUUCAAAAUCACUUAAAAAACUCUAAGUGCUCUAGCAAAUUAUACUUGGUUACGCUUGAUUAGGAGGCUUAGACACUAAUCCAACAAGUGAAAAGUCAAAUGUGCCCUUGAAAGCUCAAUUUUGGGUUAAAUUCGAAACUUGGAAUUUUGUAUAGAAACAUAAGUUUUUGUCAAACGAAAAGUUGUAGAGUUUUACAUUUCUAGCAACUUUUCUUAUUAGCACUUUGAAUGGUUUGGAGAGGAAGAGGUCCAAAAGCUAGAAUCAAAAUCAGUAGCAAUUCAAAAUCACUUCAAAAACUCUAAGUGCUCUAGCAAAUUAUACUUGGUUACGCUUGAUUAGGAGUCUUAGACACUAAUCCAGCAAGUGAAAAGUCAAAUUAUUCCUUGAAAGCUCAAUUGUGGGUUAAAUUCAAAACUUGAAACCUUGUAUAAAAACCUAAAUUUUUGUCAAACUAAAAGUUGUAGAGUUUUACAUUUCUAGCAACUUUUCUAAUGAGCACUUUGGAUGGUUUCGAGAGGAAGAGGUUCAAAAGCUAGAAUGAAAAUAAGUAGCAAUUCAAAAUCAAUUCAAAAACUCUAAGUUCUCUAGCAAAUUAUACUUGGUUAGGCUUGAUUAGGAGGCUUAGACACUAAUCCAGCAAGUCAAAAGUCAAAUUUGCCCUUAAAAGCUCAAUUUUAGGUUAAAUUCAAAACAUGAAAUUUUGUAUAGAAACCUAAGUUUUUGUCAAAAGAAAAGUUGUAGAGUUUUACAUUUCUAGCAACUUUUCUUAUUAGCACUUUGAAUGGUUUGGAGGGAAGAGGUUCACAAGCUAGAAUCAAAAUCAGUAGUAAUUCAAAAUCACUUCAAAAACUCUAAGUGCUCUAGCAAAUUAUACUUGGUUAGUCUUGAUUAGGAGGCUUAGACACUAAUCCAACAACUGAAAAGUCAAAUUUGCCCUUGAAAGCUCAAUUUUGGGUUAAAUUCGAAACUUGGAAUUUUGUAUAGAAACAUAAGUUUUUGUCAAACGAAAAGUUGUAGAGUUUUACAUUUCUAGCAACUUUUCUUAUUAGCACUUUGAAUGGUUUGGAGAGGAACAGGUCCAAAAGCUAGAAUCAAAAUCAGUAGCAAUUCAAAAUCACUUCAAAAACUCUAAGUGCUCUAGCAAAUUAUACUUGGUUACGCUUGAUUAGGAGGCUUAGACACUAAUCCAACAAAUGAAAAGUCAAAUUUGCCCUUGAAAGCUCAAUUUUGGGUUAAAUUCGAAACUUGGAAUUUUGUAUAGAAACAUAAGUUUUUGUCAAACGAAAAGUUGUAGAGUUUUACAUUUCUAGCAACUUUUCUUAUUAGCACUUUGAAUGGUUUGGAGAGGAAUAGGUCCAAAAGCUAGAAUCAAAAUCAGUAGCAAUUCAAAAUCACUUCAAAAACUCUAAGUGCUCUAGCAAAUUAUACUUGGUUACGCUUGAUUAGGAGGCUUAGACACUAAUCCAGCAAGUGAAAAGUCAAAUUUGUCCUUGAAAGCUCAAUUUUGGGUUAAAUUCAAAACUUGAAACCUUGUAUAAAAACCUAAAUUUUUGUCAAACUAAAAGUUGUAGAGUUUUACAUUUCUAGCAACUUUUCUAAUGAGCACUUUGGAUGGUUUGGAGGGGAAGAGGUUCAAAAGCUAGAAUCAAAAUCAGUAGCAAUUCAAAAUCACUUCAAAAACUCUAAGUGCUCUAGCAAAUUAUACUUGGUUACGCUUGAUUAGGAGGCUUAGACACUAAUCUAGCAAGUGAAAAGUCAAAUUUGUCCUUGAAAGCUCAAUUUUUGAAUUAAAAAUCAAUUCAAAAACUCUAAGUUCUCUAGCAAAUUAUACUUGGUUAGUCUUGAUUAGGAGGCUUAGACACUAAUCCAGCAAGUCAAAAGUCAAAUUUGCCCUUAAAAGCUCAAUUUUAGGUUAAAUUCAAAACUUGAAAUUUUGUAUAGAAACCUAAGUUUUUGUCAAACUAAAAGUUGUAGAGUUUACAUUUCUAGCAACUUUUCUUAUUAGCACUUUGAAUGGUUUGGAGGGGAAGAGGUUCACAAGCUAGAAUCAAAAUCAGUAGCAAUUCAAAAUCACUUAAAAAACUCUAAGUGCUCUAGCAAAUUAUACUUGGUUACGCUUGAUUAGGAGGCUUAGACACUAAUCCAACAAGUGAAAAGUCAAAUUUGCCCUUGAAAGCUCAAUUUUGGGUUAAAUUCGAAACUUGGAAUUUUGUAUAGAAACAUAAGUUUUUGUCAAACGAAAAGUUGUAGAGUUUUACAUUUCUAGCAACUUUUCUUAUUAGCACUUUGAAUGGUUUGGAGAGGAAGAGGUCCAAAAGCUAGAAUCAAAAUCAGUAGCAAUUCAAAAUCACUUCAAAAACUCUAAGUGCUCUAGCAAAUUAUACUUGGUUACGCUUGAUUAGGAGGCUUAGACACUAAUCCAGCAAGUGAAAAGUCAAAUUUGUCCUUGAAAGCU